RNAcentral lists this unclassified non-coding RNA (267 nucleotides) under Hevea brasiliensis (rubber tree). The record is from RNAcentral. Lineage: Eukaryota; Viridiplantae; Streptophyta; Magnoliopsida; Malpighiales; Euphorbiaceae.
AUGACAUGGCUUUGGCUCUUUGUCUACUAAAGCUGAAUAAAAUUUUCAAAAUGAAGAAAAGGGGAAAAAUGUAGGUAGAAUGGUUGCAAAAGACGAGUUGUUUAUUCCUUUGAAAAGACAAGUAAUGAUGAGACUUGGGAGAAUAUGGUUUUUGAAAGAGGCAUUACCUUUUUGUAAUUGAACAGCUACUUGCUUUGUUUCAGUGUGCUGCAUUAUCAAGUGUCACGAUUUAUUAUUGAUGUGCUUUGCCAUUUUUUUUUUUUUGGU